Molecule: unclassified non-coding RNA, 461 nt
Filed under: Hevea brasiliensis (rubber tree)
Lineage: Eukaryota; Viridiplantae; Streptophyta; Magnoliopsida; Malpighiales; Euphorbiaceae
Source: RNAcentral
CAACCCAAUUCCUGUUUGUUUUAGCUCCCAAAGCACCAAGAAGAUUGUUAAGUAUUAGUCUAGAGACAAUCUCUCGAUCAGAGAUUGCUUAGGGAAAAAAAAAGAUUGAGAUGAGAUGAGAUGAGAUGAGAAUAGACUUGAUGAGAAGAGAAAUGAAAACUACAGAAAAGAGAAAGUAUUCUGUUAUUAAUUCCAAAAAUUAAUGAAUCUGUUACAGAUAAGGAUCACUACUUAUACAAAGUAGAAUAACUGCUAUUCAACUAAUUCUGUUACACUUGACAUCCUUUAGUCAUCCUAACUUCCUCACAAUGAUAUUUCCCUCCAAAAAUACAUUUUACCUGACCCUCUUCCCAUUCCUUUUCUUUCUCCUAGAUACGCUCGAAUCUAAGAUCCAUGCGUUGCUCCAAACUUUGUUCCCUGAUCAUCAUUGCGCGAAUCACUAUAAUUGCCACCUCCAUCAA